This 603-nucleotide ribosomal RNA is filed under the name Limosilactobacillus fermentum. Its description in RNAcentral is "bacterial SSU rRNA". It matches the Rfam family "Bacterial small subunit ribosomal RNA", at positions 874 to 1478 of the family's 1533-position model. The record is from RNAcentral. Lineage: Bacteria; Bacillati; Bacillota; Bacilli; Lactobacillales; Lactobacillaceae.
UUGGGAAGUACGACCGCAAGGUUGAAACUCAAAGGAAUUGACGGGGGCCCGCACAAGCGGUGGAGCAUGUGGUUUAAUUCGAAGCUACGCGAAGAACCUUACCAGGUCUUGACAUCUUGCGCCAACCCUAGAGAUAGGGCGUUUCCUUCGGGAACGCAAUGACAGGUGGUGCAUGGUCGUCGUCAGCUCGUGUCGUGAGAUGUUGGGUUAAGUCCCGCAACGAGCGCAACCCUUGUUACUAGUUGCCAGCAUUAAGUUGGGCACUCUAGUGAGACUGCCGGUGACAAACCGGAGGAAGGUGGGGACGACGUCAGAUCAUCAUGCCCCUUAUGACCUGGGCUACACACGUGCUACAAUGGACGGUACAACGAGUCGCGAACUCGCGAGGGCAAGCAAAUCUCUUAAAACCGUUCUCAGUUCGGACUGCAGGCUGCAACUCGCCUGCACGAAGUCGGAAUCGCUAGUAAUCGCGGAUCAGCAUGCCGCGGUGAAUACGUUCCCGGGCCUUGUACACACCGCCCGUCACACCAUGAGAGUUUGUAACACCCAAAGUCGGUGGGGUAACCUUUUAGGAGCCAGCCGCCUAAGGUGACAAAAUAUUGG